This 491-nucleotide ribosomal RNA is filed under the name uncultured bacterium. RNAcentral describes it as "partial 16S ribosomal RNA". It matches the Rfam family "Bacterial small subunit ribosomal RNA", at positions 29 to 506 of the family's 1533-position model. The record is from RNAcentral.
AGUGAACGCUGGCGGUAGGCCUAACACAUGCAAGUCGAACGGCAGCACAGUAAGAGCUUGCUCUUACGGGUGGCGAGUGGCGGACGGGUGAGGAAUACAUCGGAAUCUACUUUUUCGUGGGGGAUAACGUAGGGAAACUUACGCUAAUACCGCAUACGACCUACGGGUGAAAGCAGGGGAUCUUCGGACCUUGCGCGAUUGAAUGAGCCGAUGUCGGAUUAGCUAGUUGGCGGGGUAAAGGCCCACCAAGGCGACGAUGCGUAGCUGGUCUGAGAGGAUGAGCAGCCACACUGGAACUGAGACACGGUCCAGACUCCUACGAGAGGCAGCAGUGGGGAAUAUUGGACAAUGGGCGCAAGCCUGAUCCAGCCAUACCGCGUGGGUGAAGAAGGCCUUCGGGUUGUAAAGCCCUUUUGUUGGGAAAGAAAAGCAGCAGGUUAAUACCCCGCUGUUCUGACGGGACCCAAAGAAGAAGCACCGGCUAACUUCGU